This 347-nucleotide ribosomal RNA is filed under the name uncultured eukaryote. RNAcentral describes it as "SSU rRNA". It matches the Rfam family "Eukaryotic small subunit ribosomal RNA", at positions 594 to 945 of the family's 1831-position model. The record is from RNAcentral.
AUAGCGUAUAUUAAAGUUGUUGCAGUUAAAAAGCUCGUAGUUGAACUUCAGACCUGGUCGAGUGGUCCGCCUAACGGUGUGUACUGCUUGACUGGGCCUUACCUCUUGGUGAGCCGGCGUGCCCUUUAUUGGUGUGCGUCGGGGAACCAGGACUUUUACCUUGAGAAAAUUAGAGUGUUCAAAGCAGGCCUAUGCCCGAAUACAUUAGCAUGGAAUAAUAGAAUAGGACGUGCGGUUCUAUUUUGUUGGUUUCUAGAGUCGCCGUAAUGAUUAAUAGGGAUAGUUGGGGGCAUUGGUAUUGAGUCGCUAGAGGUGAAAUUCUUGGAUUGACUCAAGACCGACUAUUG